GGAUGUGAAGGUGAUCUGUGCAUGACAUGUGUCACCCUGUUGGUCACCAGGAUUGAUUCAGCUGAUAUUGCUAGCUAGUGUGUGUCCCUCUUCCUCUUUCACAGCUCCAGGUGCAUCCCUCAUCCCUCUCAAAGUUGCGUGCAACACUCCAAUUCAGUUGCAGCUCAGUUUAAGAGGACAACCAUCCCAAAAGAGGGUGACUGUUUCCUUGGUCAAGGAUAUACUAGCUGCUGUGCUCCCCUGCCAGAACCUCCAAAUAAGAUCCAAAAAAUAUGCACAAAAAGGUGUAAGAAAUGGGUCAUGGCUGGGUGUUUGUGGUCAACAAUAAGUGUAACAGUAUUUUUCUUUAU
Molecule: unclassified non-coding RNA, 350 nt
Organism: Cavia porcellus (domestic guinea pig)
Lineage: Eukaryota; Metazoa; Chordata; Mammalia; Rodentia; Caviidae
Gene: 7SK
Rfam family: 7SK RNA
About the family: 7SK was discovered as an abundant small nuclear RNA in the mid-70s but a possible function has only recently been suggested. Two independent studies have found that 7SK RNA binds the CDK9/cyclin T complex (known as elongation factor P-TEFb).
Source: Ensembl